This 389-nucleotide ribosomal RNA is filed under the name Hoploclonia cuspidata. RNAcentral's name for it is "partial 12S ribosomal RNA". The record is from RNAcentral. Lineage: Eukaryota; Metazoa; Arthropoda; Insecta; Phasmatodea; Heteropterygidae.
UAAACUACGAUUAGAUACCCUAUUAUUCUAUAUGUUAAUAUUUACCUGGGUAGUAUUAGUUAUGUUCUUUAAACCCUAAGAAUUUGGCGGUAUUUUAGUCUAAUCAGAGGAAUUUGACCUGUAAUCGAUAAUCCCCGUUUUAUCUGACUUAAUCUUGUUUUCAAUAUGUAUACCGCCGUUAUAAGUUUAUUUUUUUAGAAUUUAAUUUACUGAUAAUUUUACUUUCUUUUAUUUCAGGUCAAGGUGCAGUUGAUGGUUAAGUAGUGUUGAGUUACAUUAUUAUUUGAAUAUAUGGAUUUAUUAUUGAAAUAUUUUUAUUGAAAGUGGAUUUGAUAGUAAUUUUAUUAAUUAUGGUAUUUUGAUCUUGGCUCUAAGAUAAGUACACAUCG